UGACUAAAAGUUAAACGGCCGCGGUACCCUAACCGUGCAAAGGUAGCACAAUCACUUGUUCUCUAAAUCAGGACCAGUAUGAAUGGCCUCACGAGAGCUAUACUGUCUCCCCCCUCCAAUCAGUGAAACUGAUCUCCUCGUGAAGAAGCGAGGAUGCCCAUAUAAGACGAGAAGACCCCAUGGAGCUUAAAACUUAUGCCACCGCCUAUAACUAUACCAACAAAUAAGGCAAUAUGGUAACUAGUCUUUCGGUUGGGGCGACCACGGAGAAAAACUAAACCUCCACGAUGAAAGGAGUACCCUAAUUUAAGAGCCACUACUCUAAAAAAUCAAUAAAUUGACAUAAAUUGACCCAAACAUUUUUUGAUCAACGAACCAAGUUACCCUGGGGAUAACAGCGCAAUCCAUUUCAAGAGACCCCAUCGACAAAUGGGCUUACGACCUCGAUGUUGGAUCAGGGUAUCCUAGUGGUGCAGCCGCUACUAACGGUUCGUUUGUUCAACGAUUAAAACCCU
Molecule: ribosomal RNA, 515 nt
Filed under: Plethodontohyla laevis
Lineage: Eukaryota; Metazoa; Chordata; Amphibia; Anura; Microhylidae
Description: partial 16S ribosomal RNA
Rfam family: Bacterial large subunit ribosomal RNA
Source: RNAcentral